This 433-nucleotide ribosomal RNA is filed under the name uncultured bacterium. Its description in RNAcentral is "partial 16S ribosomal RNA". It matches the Rfam family "Bacterial small subunit ribosomal RNA", at positions 29 to 507 of the family's 1533-position model. The record is from RNAcentral.
AACGAACGCUGGCGGCAUGCCUAACACAUGCAAGUCGAACGAAACCUUCGAGUCUAGUCGCGCACGCGUUCGUAACGCGUGGGAACCUGCCCUUAGGUUCGCAAUAACUCCCCGAAAGAGGUGCUAAUACCGGAUAAUUUCUUCGAACCAAAGAUUGAUCGCCUUUGGAUGUGCCCGCGUUGGAUUAGCUCGUUGGUAGGGUAAAAGCCUACCAAGGCGACGAUACAUAGCUGGUCUGAGAGGAUGAUCAGACACACUGGGACUGAGAAACGGCCCAGAAUACUACGGGAGGCAGCAGUGGGGAAUACUGCAAAACGGGGGAAAGCAUGAACGAGUAAUGCCGCGUGAGCGAUGAAGGUUUUAGGGUUGGAAAGCUAUUUUAUACGGGAUGAUAAUGACAGUACCGGGAGAAUAAGCUCCGGCUAACUUCGUG